Molecule: ribosomal RNA, 407 nt
Filed under: uncultured bacterium
Lineage: Bacteria
Description: bacterial SSU rRNA
Rfam family: Bacterial small subunit ribosomal RNA
Source: RNAcentral
GGACCCGCACAAGCAGUGGAGCAUGUGGUUUAAUUCGACGCAACGCGAAGAACCUUACCAGCGUUUGACAUGAGAAGUGCCGGUUACAGAAUGGUAACCUUCAGUUCGGCUGGCUUCUACACAGGUGCUGCAUGGCUGUCGUCAGCUCGUGUCGUGAGAUGUUGGGUUAAGUCCCGCAACGAGCGCAACCCUUAUCGUUAGUUACUAACAGUUCGGCUGAGGACUCUAGCGAAACUGCCGGUGAUAAGCCGGAGGAAGGUGGGGAUGACGUCAAGUCCUCAUGGCCCUUAUGCCCAGGGCUACACACGUGCUACAAUGGUAAGGACAAAGAGUAGCGAGACCGCGAGGUGGAGCCAAUCUCAAAACCCUUACCCAGUUCGGAUUGCAGUCUGCAACUCGACUGCAUG